GGGUCGGCCGGAGUGAUCGCUGGUGUUUUUGCUGCAAGGCGGGGAUGCCAGAGGAAAGUCCGGACACCACAGGGCAGCAUGCCACGUGAAAGCGUGGGGGCUGCGGUGCAAGCCGCAGUCACAGACAGUAUCACAGAAAACAAACCGCCUGCGCGAAAGCGUGGGUAAGGGUGAAACGGCGGGGUAAGAGCCCACCGCCCCAACCGCGAGGAAGGGGGCACGACAAACCUCAUGCGGUGCAAGACAGAACAGGAGAAAGGCCCGCCUGGCCGCAAGUCCCGAAAGGGAUGGAUACCUCCGGGUAAUAGUCGCUCCACUGCGCAAGCAGGGGCGGGCUGGUCGCUCAGCCCGACAGAUAAAUGAUCACAGCCAGGUGCCGAAGGGCAUCGGGGACACAGAAUCCGGCUUAUGAGGGCCGAUCCACCA
Molecule: RNase P RNA, 426 nt
Filed under: Verrucomicrobiota bacterium
Lineage: Bacteria; Pseudomonadati; Verrucomicrobiota
Description: Verrucomicrobia bacterium (activated sludge metagenome) RNase P RNA component class A
Rfam family: Bacterial RNase P class A
About the family: Ribonuclease P (RNase P) is a ubiquitous endoribonuclease, found in archaea, bacteria and eukarya as well as chloroplasts and mitochondria. Its best characterised activity is the generation of mature 5'-ends of tRNAs by cleaving the 5'-leader elements of precursor-tRNAs. Cellular RNase Ps are ribonucleoproteins.
Source: RNAcentral